RNAcentral lists this small RNA (107 nucleotides) under Mesonia phycicola. RNAcentral describes it as "Mesonia sp. MDSW-25 Flavo-1 RNA". It matches the Rfam family "Flavo-1 RNA". Lineage: Bacteria; Pseudomonadati; Bacteroidota; Flavobacteriia; Flavobacteriales; Flavobacteriaceae. The record is from Rfam by way of RNAcentral.
AUAUAUGCGUUAGGGAUGGUAACGGCAUCCUUUUUUGUUUUCCUAGAACUUCUCGAUACUGAUGUAGCUUACAGACAAAAAAGAUAUAGUGAACAGCCCGACCCAGA